CGGAUUUAUUGGGCGUAAAGCGCUCGUAGGCGGCUUUUCGCGUCGUCCGUGAAAACUCACAGCUUAACUGUGAGCUUGCGGUCGAUACGGGCAGGCUAGAGUUCGGUAGGGGAGACUGGAAUUCCUGGUGUAGCGGUGAAAUGCGCAGAUAUCAGGAGGAACACCAGUGGCGAAGGCGGGUCUCUAGUACGGUACUGACGCUGAGACACGAAAGCGUGGGGAGCGAACAGG
Molecule: ribosomal RNA, 231 nt
Filed under: uncultured bacterium
Lineage: Bacteria
Description: partial 16S ribosomal RNA
Rfam family: Bacterial small subunit ribosomal RNA
Source: RNAcentral